Molecule: long non-coding RNA, 1220 nt
Organism: Arachis stenosperma
Lineage: Eukaryota; Viridiplantae; Streptophyta; Magnoliopsida; Fabales; Fabaceae
Exons: 3
Source: RefSeq, a predicted model, not a curated record
UUUUUAAUAAAUACAUCCCUAACCAAAUUUAAAUACAAAAAGAUUUUUGACUUUAACAAACAGAAGAUAAUUUAAUUCUUCCGUCCAUUUGUCUUUCAUACACCAAAUAAAACUUACUGAUGUGAUUAAAAUGGUGUCUAAGUGUCUGUUACGGACUACGGUGUUAUGUUAAAAGGGAGAUAAAAUUCAAAAGACAAAUAAGUCCUUGCUGAUAAAAACGACGUCGUUUUGCAAAUAGGGAUAAUUGGAAUUGAAGCCAUAAGCGUCAACAUGGUGGCAAUGACGUCCCUAGCCACUCCAUCCAUCACCGUCAGCUUCACUAAUUCCAAAACACUUACUUGACUUCUUAGCUAUUGGCCUUCUUCUAAUUCAACUCUUCGUCAUCAUCCUUCUUCUUGUGCCUUCACUCUCCGUUGCGGCGCUGCCGUCUUUGCCUCUUCCUCUUCCCCUUUCACUUCUCCAAUUCCAAUUCAAAUUCCGUGAUUGUGGCCACGCUUGGAAUCAAUACACAGCCUUAACGUGAUUACGAACCUCUUUAAGUUAUGAUUUCGGGUGCUCCUACUUCCGGAAAAGGCACUCAAUGCGAGCUUAUCAAACACAAGUUUAGUGCACGUUGCUGCUGGGCGAUUUGCUUAGGGCUGAGAUCGCCACUGGCAGUGAUAAUGGAAAGCUUGUUAAACAGUAUAUAGAGAAAGGUCAACUUGUUCCCAAUCAUAUUGUUGUCAUGUAAUGCUACCCUCUUAUUUCUCUUCUCUCGUUGUUCAUGUUGUAUGUAUGUAUGCAUGUAUGUGGUUGAUGUGGGGUGUGUGUAGAUAGUGAAGGAUCGUCGCUUGAACCUGAUGUUAAGGAUUCAAUGGAUGUCCGUGAAGCUUGUCUCAGGCUACUGUCCUCAAAUGACAUCGUUUUCAUCUGUAGGGACCUAUUUGUCUUUCAAAUUUUAUCCCCCUUCUAGCGUGGCACCGUAACGGACACUUGGAUACCGUUUCAACCACGUCAGCUAGUUCCAUUUGGUGUAUGAGAGGCAAAUGGAUGGAAGAAUUAAAUUGUCCUCCAUUUGUUAAAGUCAAAGGUUUUUUUGUAUUUAGAUUUUAUCAGGGAUGUAUUUGUCAAAAACUUAAAAGGUCGGGACCUAUCUACCCUUUUCCCUAAUAUUUAAAUUGCUUGUAGGGCUACACAUGGGUUGGAUAAUAUUCACAAAUUUGUGGUAUUUAUCCGCAUCC